RNAcentral lists this ribosomal RNA (251 nucleotides) under uncultured bacterium. Its description in RNAcentral is "partial 16S ribosomal RNA". It matches the Rfam family "Bacterial small subunit ribosomal RNA", at positions 525 to 775 of the family's 1533-position model. The record is from RNAcentral.
ACGGAAGAUGCGAGCGUUAUCCGGAUUUAUUGGGUUUAAAGGGUGCGUAGGCGGAAGAAUAAGUCAGCGGUGAAAUACUUCAGCUCAACUGGAGAAUUGCCGAUGAAACUGUUUUUCUAGAGUAUAAAAGAGGUAUGCGGAAUGCGUGGUGUAGCGGUGAAAUGCAUAGAUAUCACGCAGAACCCCGAUUGCGAAGGCAGCAUACUGGGCUAUAACUGACGCUGAAGCACGAAAGCGUGGGUAUCGAACAG